GAUUGGGACCACGGCACAGGUGCCAGCGCAAGCUGGCCAAUAGGGAAUUCGGUGCCGCCGCAGGGCUGCGUGGCGAUCUGUCCACACAUCUCGCGGCCAUUCCGAAGCUGCCCCCGCAACUGUCAGCGGUGAGCCGUUGUCCACGAUGCCACUGAGCGAAGGCGAUCAAGCCGGGCUUGGGAAGGCGGACAACGGUGACGAUCCGCGAGCCAGGAGACCUGCCUGUACCGGUCAUCCUUC
This 240-nucleotide non-coding RNA is filed under the name Afipia sp. The record is from RNAcentral. Lineage: Bacteria; Pseudomonadati; Pseudomonadota; Alphaproteobacteria; Hyphomicrobiales; Nitrobacteraceae.